GACAGAGGGUGCAAACGUUGUUCGGAAUUACUGGGCGUAAAGCGCGUGUAGGCGGCCCGGAAAGUCGGAUGUGAAAGCCCUGGGCUUAACCUAGGAAGUGCAUUCGAAACUCUCGGGCUUGAGUUCUGGAGAGGAAGGCGGAAUUCACGGUGUAGAGGUGAAAUUCGUAGAUAUCGAGAGGAACACCGGUGGCGAAGGCGGCCUUCUGGACAGUGACUGACGCUGAGACGCGAAAGCGUGGGGAGCAAACAGG
RNAcentral lists this ribosomal RNA (253 nucleotides) under uncultured bacterium. RNAcentral describes it as "partial 16S ribosomal RNA". It matches the Rfam family "Bacterial small subunit ribosomal RNA", at positions 524 to 776 of the family's 1533-position model. The record is from RNAcentral.